CAAAUUUGAAAUCUGGCUCCUCGGGGGUCCGAGUUGUAAUUUGUAGAGGAUGCUUCGGGUGCGGCACCGGUCUAAGUCCCUUGGAACAGGGCGUCAUAGAGGGUGAGGAUCCCGUAUGUGACCGGCGACCUAGCCCAUGUGAAGCUCCUUCGACGAGUCGAGUUGUUUGGGAAUGCAGCUCAAAAUGGGUGGUAAAUUUCAUCUAAAGCUAAAUACCGGCCAGAGACCGAUAGCGCACAAGUAGAGUGAUCGAAAGAUGAAAAGCACUUUGGAAAGAGAGUCAAAAAGUACGUGAAAUUGUUGAAAGGGAAGCGCUUGUAACCAGACCUGCCGUCGGGGGCUCCGCGGGCAUUCUUGCCCGUUUACUCCCCCGCGAUCAGGCCAGCAUCGGUUUUGGCGGCCGGAUAAAGACUCGAGGAAUGUAGCUUCGCUUCGGGGAAGUGUUAUAGCCUCUUGUGCAAUACGGCCAGCCGGGAACGAGGACCGCGCUUCGGCUAGGAUGCUGGCGUAAUGGUUGCAAGCGACCCGUCUUGAAACACGGACCAAGGAGUCUAACAUCUAUGCGAGUGUUUGGGUGUCAAACCCAUGCGCGGAAUGAAAGUGAACGGAGGUGGGAACCCUUAAGGGCGCACCAUCGACCGAUCCGGAAGUUUACGGAUGGAUUUGAGUAUGAGCAUAGCUGUUGGGACCCGAAAGAUGGUGAACUAUGCCUGAAUAGGGUGAAGCCAGAGGAAACUCUGGUGGAGGCUCGCAGCGGUUCUGACGUGCAAAUCGAUCGUCAAAUUUGGGUAUAGGGGCGAAAGACUAAUCGAACCAUCUAGUAGCUGGUUCCUGCCGAAGUUUCGUAAGUUCUCCCCAGGACACCCCCCCUAUGAACUCUUGCUAACAACCUCAACAGCCUCAGGAUAGCAGUAACGUUUUCAGUUUUAUGAGGUAAAGCGAAUGAUUAGAGGUCUGGGGGAUGAAACAUCCUUCACCUAUUCUCAAACUUUCAAUAUGUAAGAAGUCCUUGUUACUUAGUUGAACGUGGACAUUUGAAUGCACCGUUACUAGUGGGCCAUUUUUGGUAAGCAGAACUGGCGAUGCGGGAUGAACCGAACGUGGGGUUAAGGUGCCGGAAUGUACGCUCAUCAGACACCAAGGGGACGACUUGUGGUGUCUUGCCGGGGGAUAGACCCCCGGCAUCAGUCUGCGAAAGGCGAGGUCUUUGACCUGUAGGGGUCGGCGGUCGCUCCGGCGAUGGCCUACCCUCUGCUGCCCCAUGACCGGGGCAGCUCACAGAUCAAGCAAAGGCCGGCGGCAGUAGUACGCCGUUGGAGAUAUGAUCGGCCCCCGAAGG
This 1339-nucleotide ribosomal RNA is filed under the name Ramalina krogiae. RNAcentral describes it as "partial large subunit ribosomal RNA". It matches the Rfam family "Eukaryotic large subunit ribosomal RNA", at positions 110 to 1318 of the family's 3401-position model. The record is from RNAcentral. Lineage: Eukaryota; Fungi; Ascomycota; Lecanoromycetes; Lecanorales; Ramalinaceae.